ACCUCGGGGGGCAGCAGUGAGGAAUAUUGGUCAAUGGACGAGAGUCUGAACCAGCCAAGUAGCGUGAAGGAUGACUGCCCUAUGGGUUGUAAACUUCUUUUAUAUGGGAAUAAAAUGUUCCACGUGUGGGUUUUUGUAUGUACCAUAUGAAAAAGGAUCGGCUAACCCCGGGCCAGCAGCCGCGGUAAUACGAAGGAUCCGAGCGUUAUCCGGAUUUAUUGGGUUUAAAGG
Molecule: ribosomal RNA, 231 nt
Filed under: uncultured bacterium
Lineage: Bacteria
Description: partial 16S ribosomal RNA
Rfam family: Bacterial small subunit ribosomal RNA
Source: RNAcentral